GAAUGACUGCUCGGUUCGGCCAAUUUCGUAUUUUUCGAAGAAAAUGACUGAGGCCGAAGCCUGUUAUGAAAAAUCAUGACGGAUUUGAAAGCUCUCCAUAUCGCUUUUAAUAGAAGAGGCACGUGUCCACGAAUGCAGAAAUGGAUAGAUGAAUUGAUACAAUAUGAUUAUCGGGCUGAUCAUCGAUCUGAUUCGAUGUACUACUCUGAGUCGUCUGUUGAGGAGCCCUUAUGAUUGGACAUGUAGGAGCCAGAGAAAAGGAUCUAAAGGCUGGGAUGGGCAGAAGUGGGUCCAGAGGAAGCUGAUCAAACUUGGACCUCGAUCGAGACGGACCACGAAACUCUAAUAUCACCGCAGAUUCUGAGGAUUUGGAAUCGCAUGAUGGAGAUAAUAAUUCUGAUGCCUUGUGGAGCAAGAAAUCCUCAAUCACAUUUGAAGACAUGCUAAAUACUUCGGAUGAAGCUGGAAACAUGUUCAAAACUCAGGAUUGGAUCAGUAUGCAUUCUAUAGUUUUUAUUUUUUAUAUACUGCUCUACGAAUUUAUUUAAUACCAAAAAAUAGAUUUUGCUCGAGGCUUAAAUUGAUUUAUUCUCCUUGAAGAUGUAUUUGUUAAUGUUUAAAAAGUAGUCUAGUAGAGAGAUUUGACCCUCUUAUUCGGCAUCAUAUUUACAGGGUGACAAUUAGGAAAUUACCUAAACUCAUCGUUUAUAACUUUGAAAUGAGUGCCAGGAAAAAAAAAGAAAAAUACAUAUGAAUUGAGUAAAGAUGUCAUUUUUAUUUGGAAUUAGUUUCAGUUGAAUCAGAGACUUCUAAUAGAUACUUAUUGAGAUUUGAAAAAAAGUGACAAAUUGAGCCAGGAGAUAACUAUUAAUGGUAAAUAUUUUCGAAGUGAUCUCCAAUCAAAUUUACACAAUAAUCAAGCCGUUUUCGGAAACUAUGAAAAACUUGUUCAAUCUGAGAUGGAGAAAUACCAGAAAUUUCGUCUCUGAUGGCUUUUUUCAAAUCAUGUUUGGUCUCGGGUUUUUCCGCAUAAACAUUAUCUUUCAGGAAGCCCCAUAAGAAGAAGUCACACGGGUUCAAAUCGGGUGAAUAAGGGGGCCAUUCCAUACCUCCAGGCGCAAACUUUUGGUAUCCUAAUCCGAUAACGCGAUCACAAUACACUUCAUAAAUAGCUUCAAAUACGUUCUUAGUUCUAUGCGGUGUAGCACCAUCUUGCAUAAAAUAAUAGUUCUUAACCAAUCCUCUUCUUUUAGCCAAAGAAAGAAAUUUAGUUUGUAGCAUUUCUUGAUAACUGUUGCCUGUAAUGGUUCCUUCUAUGAAUUUUAAGUGUAUUGUUUUGAUUGAAAUAGCUGCCCAAACAGUCACUUUAACAGGGUGUAAAGACUUUGCCUCAGAUGAUUGCGGAUUUUCGAGACCCCAAAAAUGGUAAUUUUGUUUAUUUACAUAUCCAUUUAAAUAAAAGUGAGCUUUGUCUGUAAAGAUUAUGUGCUUGAUGUCGAUCUCAUCAUUUUCAACUUUCUGUCAUAAUUUUACAAAACUCAAUUCUUUUGUUUUUGGAAUCUUCUGUCAGCAAAUAAUAGGUCGUAAUUUUGUAAGGGUGUAACUUGAGGAAAUUCUUCAAUAUUAAUCUCAGUGUCUCUCGGUUCAGUUUCAAAGUUGCCGCUGCUUUUCGUAUCGAAUCCGUUGGAUUAUUCUUGAAAUGUUCUUCGAUCUUGGCAAUCGUAUCUUCUGUCGUAACUGAGUGUGAUGGACCGAGAAGAUCAUGACGACGGUCCUCAAGAGUAUAAUACUUGAUGAAAUUAUCAAUUACUCUGGGAGAGAAAGUAAUAAAUACUUGAA
Diachasma alloeum is the source of this 1839-nucleotide long non-coding RNA. RefSeq lists it as uncharacterized. Lineage: Eukaryota; Metazoa; Arthropoda; Insecta; Hymenoptera; Braconidae. The transcript is spliced from 3 exons. The record is from RefSeq and is a predicted model, not a curated record.